Molecule: transfer RNA, 72 nt
Filed under: Actinomycetota bacterium
Lineage: Bacteria; Bacillati; Actinomycetota
Description: tRNA-Arg
Rfam family: tRNA
About the family: Transfer RNA (tRNA) molecules are approximately 80 nucleotides in length.
Source: RNAcentral
GGCCCCGUAGCUCAGUGGAUAGAGCAGCAGGCUUCGAACCUGCGUGCGGAGGUUCAAUUCCUCCCGGGGCCA